AACGAACGCUGGCGGCAUGCCUAACACAUGCAAGUCGAACGAGACCUUCGGGUCUAGUGGCGCACGGGUGCGUAACGCGUGGGAACCUGCCCUUAGGUUCGGAAUAACUCCCCGAAAGGGGUGCUAAUACCGGAUAAUGUCUUCGGACCAAAGAUUUAUCGCCUUUGGAUGGGCCCGCGUUGGAUUAGCUAGUUGGUAGGGUAAAAGCCUACCAAGGCGACGAUCCAUAGCUGGUCUGAGAGGAUGAUCAGCCACACUGGGACUGAGACACGGCCCAGACUCCUACGGGAGGCAGCAGUGGGGAAUAUUGGACAAUGGGCGAAAGCCUGAUCCAGCAAUGCCGCGUGAGUGGUGAAGGCCUUAGGGUUGUAAAGCUCUUUUACCCGGGAUGAUAAUGACAGUACCGGGAGAAUAAGCUCCGGCUAACUCCGU
RNAcentral lists this ribosomal RNA (432 nucleotides) under uncultured bacterium. Its description in RNAcentral is "partial 16S ribosomal RNA". It matches the Rfam family "Bacterial small subunit ribosomal RNA", at positions 29 to 506 of the family's 1533-position model. The record is from RNAcentral.